Molecule: ribosomal RNA, 253 nt
Filed under: uncultured bacterium
Lineage: Bacteria
Description: partial 16S ribosomal RNA
Rfam family: Bacterial small subunit ribosomal RNA
Source: RNAcentral
UACGGAGGAUGCGAGCGUUAUCCGGAAUUACUGGGCGUAAAGAGAGCGUAGGCGGCACUACAAGUCUCAUGUGAAAUACCCGGGCUUAACUUGGGGGUUGCAUGGGAAACUGUAGAGCUUGAGUACAGGAGAGGCAAGCGGAAUUCCUAGUGUAGCGGUGAAAUGCAUAGAUAUUAGGAGGAACACCAGUGGCGAAGGCGGCUUGCUGAACUGAAACUGACGCUGAGGCUCGAAAGCGUGGGGAGCAAACAGG